GCGGGAAUAGCUCAGUUGGUAGAGCGCAACCUUGCCAAGGUUGAGGUCGCGAGUUCGAGCUUGUUCUUGGCU
Molecule: transfer RNA, 72 nt
Filed under: Chromobacterium haemolyticum
Lineage: Bacteria; Pseudomonadati; Pseudomonadota; Betaproteobacteria; Neisseriales; Chromobacteriaceae
Description: tRNA-Gly
Rfam family: tRNA
About the family: Transfer RNA (tRNA) molecules are approximately 80 nucleotides in length. Their secondary structure includes four short double-helical elements and three loops (D, anti-codon, and T loops). Further hydrogen bonds mediate the characteristic L-shaped molecular structure. tRNAs have two regions of fundamental functional importance: the anti-codon, which is responsible for specific mRNA codon recognition, and the 3' end, to which the tRNAs corresponding amino acid is attached (by aminoacyl-tRNA synthetases). tRNAs cope with the degeneracy of the genetic code in two manners: having more than one tRNA (with a specific anti-codon) for a particular amino acid; and 'wobble' base-pairing, i.e. permitting non-standard base-pairing at the 3rd anti-codon position.
Source: RNAcentral